GGUGUUAUAGCUCAGUUGGUAGCUUGCUUGCCUUUCAUGCACAAGACCCUGGGUUCAAUCCCCAGUAGCACGA
Molecule: transfer RNA, 73 nt
Filed under: Ictidomys tridecemlineatus (thirteen-lined ground squirrel)
Lineage: Eukaryota; Metazoa; Chordata; Mammalia; Rodentia; Sciuridae
Description: Spermophilus tridecemlineatus (thirteen-lined ground squirrel) tRNA
Rfam family: tRNA
About the family: Transfer RNA (tRNA) molecules are approximately 80 nucleotides in length.
Source: Rfam by way of RNAcentral